AUUGAACGCUGGCGGCAGGCCUAACACAUGCAAGUCGAAUGGUAACAGGAAACAGCUUGCUGUUUCGCUGACGAGUGGCGGACGGGUGAGAAAUGUCUGGGAAACUGCCUGAUGGAGGGGGAUAACUACUGGAAACGGUAGCUAAUACCGCAUAACGUCGCAAGACCAAAGAGGGGGACCUUCGGGCGUCUUGCCAUGAGGUGUGCCCAGGUGGGAUUAGCUUGUAGGGGGGGUAAUGAUACACCUAGUCGGACAUCCGUAGGUGGUGUGAGAGGAUGGCCGGCCACACUGGAACUGGGACACGGUCCUGGCUCCUGCGGGAGGCAGCAGUGUGGAAUAUUGCACAGUGGGCGCAAGCCUGAUGCAGCCAUGCCGCGUGUAUGAAGAAGGCCUUCGGGUUGUAAAGUACUUUCAGCGGGGAGGAAGGGAGUAAAGUUAAUACCUUUGCUCAUUGACGUUACCCGCAGAAGAAGCACCGGCUAACUCCGUG
Molecule: ribosomal RNA, 490 nt
Filed under: uncultured bacterium
Lineage: Bacteria
Description: partial 16S ribosomal RNA
Rfam family: Bacterial small subunit ribosomal RNA
Source: RNAcentral